AUGCUUUUUGCUGUGCAAUAUGCAUUUUGCUAUCCGCCUUUUUUGAUCACCUUCGAAAAUAUAGUUUAACAUGUGACUAUCCCUGAACGAAUCAAAUAAGUUAAAAUAUACGAAUUAAUAAUACUGAGUAAGAUAAAUAAAAUGUAGAGAAAAGUGACAUAACAAUUUAAAGAAUACAGAAAUAAACACCGCCCCCAUCCGGACCCUCAUGGUAUACACGAGAAUCUGGAUGGAGACGCAGAAUAUAGAAUAGUAGAUAAGGACAGUAGAGAUUGAUGCAUUGCUAAAAAAGAGAGAAAAAUAAUAAUUGUUUAAGAAUAC
Molecule: long non-coding RNA, 321 nt
Filed under: Mytilus galloprovincialis (Mediterranean mussel)
Lineage: Eukaryota; Metazoa; Mollusca; Bivalvia; Mytilida; Mytilidae
Source: RNAcentral